This 387-nucleotide unclassified non-coding RNA is filed under the name soil metagenome. RNAcentral describes it as "partial contains 5.8S ribosomal RNA, internal transcribed spacer 2, and large subunit ribosomal RNA". The stretch from base 1 to 120 matches the Rfam family "5.8S ribosomal RNA", at positions 35 to 154 of the family's 154-position model. The record is from RNAcentral.
GAUGAAGAACGUAGCGAAAUGCGAUAAGUAAUGUGAAUUGCAGAAUUCAGUGAAUCAUCGAAUCUUUGAACGCACAUUGCGCCCAUUAGUAUUCUAGUGGGCAUGCCUGUUCGAGCGUCAUUAAUUCCACUUAAGCCCUGCUUAGUGUUGGGAAUCUACUCUAGUGGUGCUACCCUGGAGCUACCCCUGAAAGGGGGCUGGCCCGGUAGCUACCCUGUAGUUCCUCAAAGAUAGUGCGCGGAGUUGCGUGGUCCUCUGAGCUUAGUAACUAUACACCUAGCUUUUGAGUGUCCCGCGGCGCCUGCCGUUUAAACCCCAUCUUUUAAUGGUUGACCUCGGAUCAGGUAGGAAUACCCGCUGAACUUAAGCAUACCAAUAAGCGGAGGA